Long non-coding RNA from Cynocephalus volans (Philippine flying lemur), 775 nucleotides. RefSeq lists it as uncharacterized. The transcript has 3 exons. Lineage: Eukaryota; Metazoa; Chordata; Mammalia; Dermoptera; Cynocephalidae. The record is from RefSeq and is a predicted model, not a curated record.
GCUGCAAGCUGUGUCAUUGCUUCACUGCUUGCUCUUCGGAAGGCAGUCUUUUCACUCUGGCUGCAUCUAAGAGUUUUUUCUUUUUGAUUGUGAUGUCCUGAAAAUUUCUAAUGAUGUGUCCAGUUGUGGAUGUUUUGUGCACUUGGACUUGGACUUCUUGGAGUUUCAUGUAUUUGGAAAACUUUCAGUCUUCUUUCUUCAGUGCUGCCUCUCUCCAUUCCUGCUAUGCUUUCCUUUUGAAACCUGUUCAGACAUGUGCUGGAAUCUGCUCAAUCUCUGUGCCACAAACUCUCCUCCAGAUUUUGAAAAUGAAAAGUCUUUCCCUUUUUUAAAAUUAAAAUUAAAAAUUUACUCCUUUUAAAAGUUAAUUAGAAGAAAACCUGUAAUAUGAGAAUAAGUAAAAUAAUCUGGUUUCAUCAUCUAAAAAAAAUAAUUAGCCUCUACUUUUAAAUUAAAAAGUCAAAUCAAUCUCAGAACCUUGGAUGUUGGCUGAAAUAAGCUGAGUGAGUGAUUUGCCUGGAAAACCUUUAAGAUUCAUACAAGAGAUGAGAAGCCCUUCGCUUAAGAAGCACGUGGAGAUCGUGAUCUGUCUCUCAACUACUGAAGGUUGGAUUUCUCCUCUGGAACAACUCCACUGCCUGUUUUAGUCCCCACCACCCAGGACCACUCAGCGGGUGUGCCCAUUAAGGAGCUUUUCAGAUGGGCAACAGCUUCCAAGUUCUAAUUUCCAAGGUCCUAGAGCUUAGUUUAAAAUAAAACUGUAAGUACUAAAAUU